RNAcentral lists this ribosomal RNA (457 nucleotides) under uncultured Bacteroidota bacterium. Its description in RNAcentral is "bacterial SSU rRNA". It matches the Rfam family "Bacterial small subunit ribosomal RNA", at positions 28 to 478 of the family's 1533-position model. The record is from RNAcentral. Lineage: Bacteria; Pseudomonadati; Bacteroidota.
GAUGAACGCUAGCGGGAGGCCUAAUACAUGCAAGUCGGACGGCAGCGGGCGCAGCAAUGCGUGCCGGCGAGUGGCGCACGGGUGAGUAACGCGUACGCAACCUACCCCCGGCCGGGGCAUAACCGCGGGAAACUGCGGAUAAUUCCGUAUGCCCCCUGGCGGCCGCAUGGCCGUUUGGGGAAAGUUUUCGGGCGGCCGGGGAUGGGCGUGCGUCCGAUUAGCCAGUUGGCGGGGUAACGGCCCACCAAGGCGACGAUCGGUAGGGGGCGUGAGAGCGUGGCCCCCCACACGGGUACUGAGACACGGACCCGACUCCUACGGGAGGCAGCAGUAAGGAAUAUUGGACAAUGGGCGGAAGCCUGAUCCAGCCAUCCCGCGUGCAGGAAGGAGGCCCUCUGGGUCGUAAACUGCUUUUCCCAGGGGAGAAACGCACGGUCUUGACCGUGCCUGACGGUAC